CUCGCCAUGGCCCACUCCGAGCUACAUGGUGAAGUCACUGAACCAGGAGUUGCAGCUGUCACCAGUGCAAGGCAGCUCCAACACACCAGUAGAACAACCGGGUGAGAAAACAGACACAUUUUUGCAACCAAGAUAAGGUUAGAAUGACUGUUCUCAUGACCCAACUACUCAUCAAGAAUGCAUUUUCAGAGUCAGCACAAUCGUGGGCAAUCAGGAGGCAAUCACCAGUGUGAUGGAGGCUAGUGAGGAUGCGAUGGAGGCCAGUAACAGUGGAGCUCUCAAGAGAGUCCAAAGCCACCCUCCAGCAAAUAUGGUCGGCAGCUGCUAAGGGAAGCAUUUAGUCUCUCCCUGCUCUGCAGCCACCAAACCACGAGCAACGCCAUCCCAGAUGAGCCCCCAUAAUUGUUGUCAAAACUGUAAGGGAGUUUCGGUCUAGGUCCAGUUGCUCUUUACACAAUGAUCCAAUUAUUGAAACAAUGAAGAUUGGCAAGGAAGAAAGGAAUUUUUAAAAUGACAGACAUCUUGUGGGGAGAAUGGGAGAAGCUGCCUCAAAUUCAUCUCUCGGACUAAGGGAUAUUCUGGGCUUUCAAAGGAAGGGCCACAUACCUUGGGGCAGGCUGUGUGGUAUAACUAACAAGGGACUAUGUGCUUUGGUGGCAGGUUGCAGGGGAUGGUGAAUCUUGUCAGGAAGUCUGCCGUGAGGCCUUCAGAAUCUCAGCUACUUUGUCUUACAGAAAAUCCACCAUUUCUGGGAAACAAUUCAAAAGGUCAAGUAGUUAAGGGAGAGGAUUAUAUAGGGGUUAUUGAAAUUUGUCCAAUGGAGGACCAGUUACAGUAGUUAGAAACUUUCUAAUCAGAAGUAGAAUUCCUGUAGAUAAAAUAGAGACAUGUUGCAAAUCCUAGGAGAGGGGAUAAUAAAACAUAAUUAAACAUUAACCUUAAUAGCAAAUGAUUAUUAUUCAGGCAUUAAAUGUACU
Molecule: long non-coding RNA, 977 nt
Organism: Lemur catta (Ring-tailed lemur)
Lineage: Eukaryota; Metazoa; Chordata; Mammalia; Primates; Lemuridae
Exons: 3
Source: RefSeq, a predicted model, not a curated record